RNAcentral lists this ribosomal RNA (461 nucleotides) under uncultured bacterium. RNAcentral describes it as "partial 16S ribosomal RNA". It matches the Rfam family "Bacterial small subunit ribosomal RNA", at positions 338 to 795 of the family's 1533-position model. The record is from RNAcentral.
CCUACGGGAGGCAGCAGUGAGGAAUAUUGGUCAAUGGGCGAGAGCCUGAACCAGCCAAGUCGCGUGAGGGAAGACGGUCCUAUGGAUUGUAAACCUCUUUUGUCGGGGAGCAAAAAGGCCUCGUGAGGCCACAAGUGAGAGUACCCGAAGAAAAAGCAUCGGCUAACUCCGUGCCAGCAGCCGCGGUAAUACGGAGGUGGCAAGCGUUGUCCGGAUUUACUGGGUGUAAAGGGCGUGUAGCCGGGAAGGCAAGUCAGAUGUGAAAUCCGGAGGCUCAACCUCCGAAUUGCAUUUGAAACUGUUUUUCUUGAGUACUGGAGAGGCAGACGGAAUUCCUUGUGUAGCGGUGAGAUGCGUAGAUAUAAGGAGGAACACCAGUGGCGAAGGCGGUCUGCUGGACAGCAACUGACGGUGAGGCGCGAAAGCGUGGGGAGCAAACAGGAUUAGAUACCCCGGUAGUC